GACAGGCCCUACUGCCUGUAAACACACAGUCCAGUUCAAAGUGAAUGAUGGCAGGUCCUACUGCCUGUAAACACACAGUCCAGUUCAAAGUGAAUGAUGGCAGGUCCUACUGCCUGUAAACACACAGUCCAGUUCAAAGUGAAUGAUGGCAGGUCCUACUGCCUGUAAACACACAGUCCAGUUCAAAGUGAAUGAUGACAGGUCCUACUGCCUGUAAACACACAGUCCAGUUCAAAGUGAAUGAUGGCAGGUCCUACUGCCUGUAAACACACAGUCCAGUUCAAAGUGAAUGAUGACAGGUCCUACUG
Molecule: long non-coding RNA, 308 nt
Organism: Oncorhynchus keta (chum salmon)
Lineage: Eukaryota; Metazoa; Chordata; Actinopteri; Salmoniformes; Salmonidae
Exons: 3
Source: RefSeq, a predicted model, not a curated record